Acinonyx jubatus (cheetah) is the source of this 812-nucleotide long non-coding RNA. RefSeq lists it as uncharacterized. Lineage: Eukaryota; Metazoa; Chordata; Mammalia; Carnivora; Felidae. The record is from RefSeq and is a predicted model, not a curated record. The transcript is spliced from 3 exons.
UUAACUCUAGUUUGCGGCCGCCUCUUCCGGAAGAAGCCGAGAUGGAAUCAUGUAGCCUGUUUACCACCAAGUCCUGCUUCUCUAGAGAGGAAACAGAGGCCCACGUGGCAAGCUAAGGAUUAAAUGGCUGAUUAGUGCUCUGGUCCUUUUAUUAAGCACUGAAACCUUGAUCCAAUAAUAAAUUUGUCCAAUAAAAGGAGCUUCCCUAGCUGGUUCUAACUUCUGUUCUUCAAUAGGCCUGUGCAUCUUCUACAAACAUCCGGAGGGGACUUCACUGCCUGGAGACCAAAGCCUAAACUGUUACCAGUGACAUUGUGUAGCUCAUGCUCCAGCAGCCUGAGUUCCAGCAAGGCUAUCUAGAUGUUCAAUCUAUUUAACUCAGUGACUACUUCAUUCUAGUUAACUGAGCAUCUACUUUGGAUAAGGCACCAUGGAGGUUCAGAGGGAAGAGCUGUAUCUGUUUUGGUAAACACUUCAAGGCACGUUCGGUGUCAUGUGCGAUGAUGCAAAAGUAAGGACUCCAUUCUGAACAACUGGUUUCAAGCUAUCAACGUGAAGGCACGGAAAACAGAGCUGGGAAGAGGUGUGCAUACUUGGGCCCCACAAGGUAGAAGGUAGGGAAGGUGAAACCAACAAGGUCAAAGGAAACUCAAGAUGCUGGGGUGUACCAGGUCUAAGGGAUAAUGAAGUCUAAAGAGUGUCUAACGUAGAGUGACAGCAGAGGUCAUGCAGCUGAAGAGGUGAACACAGAGAUUAGAAGGAGCCCUCAGUCUAAGGAGGGUGACUGUGGAGAAAGGGGCAGAGGAUGGAGU